CGCUGGCGGCAUGCCUAACACAUGCAAGUCGAACGAGACCGUUCGGGUCUAGUGGCGCACGGGUGCGUAACACGUGGGAAUUUGCCUCGGGGUAUGGAAUAACUCAGGGAAACUUGAGCUAAUACCAUAUAAUGUCUUCGGACCAAAGAUUUAUCGCCCUGAGAUAAGCCCGCGUAGGAUUAGCUAGUUGGUGGGGUAAAGGCUCACCAAGGCGACGAUCCUUAGCUGGUCUGAGAGGAUGAUCAGCCACACUGGGACUGAGACACGGCCCAGACUCCUACGGGAGGCAGCAGUGGGGAAUAUUGGACAAUGGGCGAAAGCCUGAUCCAGCAAUGCCGCGUGAGUGAUGAAGGCCUUCGGGUUGUAAAGCUCUUUUACUCGGGACGAUAAUGACGGUACCGAGAGAAUAAGCCCCGGCUAACUCCGUG
Molecule: ribosomal RNA, 428 nt
Filed under: uncultured bacterium
Lineage: Bacteria
Description: bacterial SSU rRNA
Rfam family: Bacterial small subunit ribosomal RNA
Source: RNAcentral